AAACACGAUAGAGGCGCGGACUUCAUCAGUACCGUGCAGGAGAACGCUCAGGACAGCUGCCUGCAUAAGAAAGGGAAUUCCGCCGAAGGGAUUUAUCCGUCCGGGAUGUUUCCCUGGGCUGCAUCAGAAUAUGCUGCAGACUGUCACAAUUAUGUGGAGCGCUAUCUGAUAU
Non-coding RNA from Firmicutes bacterium CAG:24, 172 nucleotides. The record is from Rfam. NCBI's taxonomy places the organism in Bacteria, Bacillati, Bacillota.